GUAGGGAAUAUUGGGCAAUGGAGGCAACUCUGACCCAGCCAUGCCGCGUGCAGGAUGACGGCCCUCUGGGUUGUAAACUGCUUUUAUAUGGGAAGAAAAAAUACUACGUGUAGUAUACUGACGGUACCGUAAGAAUAAGGAUCGGCUAACUCCGUGCCAGCAGCCGCGGUAAUACGGAGGAUCCAAGCGUUGUCCGGAUUUAUUGGGUUUAAAGGGUGCGUAGGCGGAUCUUUAAGUCAGUGGUGAAAGCCUGCAGCUUAACUGUAGAAUUGCCAUUGAAACUGAAGAUCUUGAAUGUGGUUAAAGUAGGCGGAAUGUAUCAUGUAGCGGUGAAAUGCUUAGAUAUGAUACAGAACACCGAUAGCGAAGGCAGCUUGCUGAACCAUUAUUGACGCUGAGGCACGAAAGCGUGGGGAGCGAACAGGAUUAGAAACCCGUGUAGUCC
RNAcentral lists this ribosomal RNA (445 nucleotides) under uncultured bacterium. RNAcentral describes it as "partial 16S ribosomal RNA". It matches the Rfam family "Bacterial small subunit ribosomal RNA", at positions 354 to 796 of the family's 1533-position model. The record is from RNAcentral.